RNAcentral lists this ribosomal RNA (274 nucleotides) under uncultured bacterium. Its description in RNAcentral is "partial 16S ribosomal RNA". It matches the Rfam family "Bacterial small subunit ribosomal RNA", at positions 523 to 796 of the family's 1533-position model. The record is from RNAcentral.
AUACGGAGGGGGCUAGCGUUGUUCGGAAUUACUGGGCGUAAAGCGCGCGUAGGCGGCCUGUCAUGUUGGGGGUGAAAGCCCGGGGCUCAACCCCGGAACUGCCCUCAAAACUGGCAAGCUAGAGACCGGGAGAGGUGAGUGGAAUUCCCAGUGUAGAGGUGAAAUUCGUAGAUAUUGGGAAGAACACCAGCGGCGAAGGCGGCUCACUGGACCGGUACUGACGCUGAGGUGCGAAAGCGUGGGGAGCAAACAGGAUUAGAUACCCCGGUAGUCC